CAGCAGUCGCCACGGGAAUACGUAGGGUGCAAGCAUUAAUCGGAAUUACUGGGCGUAAAGCGUGCGCAGGCGGUUAUAUAAGACAGAUGUGAAAUCCCCGGGCUCAACCUGGGAACUGCAUUUGUGACUGUAUAGCUAGAGUACGGCAGAGGGGGAUGGAAUUCCGCGUGUAGCAGUGAAAUGCGUAGAUAUGCGGAGGAACACCGAUGGCGAAGGCAAUCCCCUGGGCCUGUACUGACGCUCAUGCACGAAAGCGUGGGGAGCAAACAGGAUUAGAUACCCCUGUAGUCCCUGUCUCUUAUAC
Molecule: ribosomal RNA, 304 nt
Filed under: uncultured bacterium
Lineage: Bacteria
Description: partial 16S ribosomal RNA
Rfam family: Bacterial small subunit ribosomal RNA
Source: RNAcentral